Molecule: ribosomal RNA, 506 nt
Filed under: uncultured bacterium
Lineage: Bacteria
Description: partial 16S ribosomal RNA
Rfam family: Bacterial small subunit ribosomal RNA
Source: RNAcentral
AUUGAACGCUGGCGGCAGGCCUAACACAUGCAAGUCGGACGGUAGCACAGAGGAGCUUGCUCCUCGGGUGACGAGUGGCGGACGGGUGAGUAAUGUCUGGGGAUCUGCCCGAUAGAGGGGGAUAACCACUGGAAACGGUGGCUAAUACCGCAUAACGUCGCAAGACCAAAGAGGGGGACCUUCGGGCCUCUCACUAUCGGAUGAACCCAGAUGGGAUUAGCUAGUAGGCGGGGUAACGGCCCACCUAGGCGACGAUCCCUAGCUGGGCUGAGAGGAUUACCAGCCACACUGGAACUGAGACACGGUCCAGACUCCUACGGGAGGCAGCAGUGGGGAAUAUUGCACAAUGGGCGCAAGCCUGAUGCAGCCAUGCCGCGUGUAUGAAGAAGGCCUUCGGGUUGUAAAGUACUUUCAGCGGGGAGGAAGGCGAUGUGGUUAAUAACCGCGUCGAUUGACGUUACCCGCAGAAGAAGCACCGGCUAACUCCGUGCCAGCCGCCGCAGUAA